Anneissia japonica is the source of this 295-nucleotide long non-coding RNA. RefSeq lists it as uncharacterized. NCBI's taxonomy places the organism in Eukaryota, Metazoa, Echinodermata, Crinoidea, Comatulida, Comatulidae. The transcript has 3 exons. The record is from RefSeq and is a predicted model, not a curated record.
GGAUCUACCCCGGUUCAUAUAGCGGCCCUCUAUGGCCAAUACGAUUGUUUAAAGUCUUUAUUACAGCACGGCGGUUCAGCCGCUGCUGUCAGAGUUGACGGAUUUACCCCGUUGCAUGCAGCCGCAAAGUUUGGACAUGCAAGGUGCAUGCAGAUUUUACUUGACGCUGGAAGUCCAGCCAGCCAACCGGACACCAUCGGUUGGCAGCCUCUUCACCAGGCUGCGAGCAGUGGCUCAGGAGCGUGCGUUCAAGUUCUUCUUAGCCAGGGUAUAUCAAGCUUAUGCAGAUCACAGG